UACGUAGGGGGCUAGCGUUGUCCGGAAUCAUUGGGCGUAAAGAGCGUGUAGGCGGUCCGGUAAGUCCGCUGUGAAAGUCGGGGGCUCAACCCUCGAAUGCCGGUGGAUACUGUCGGGCUAGAGUGCGGAAGAGGCGAGUGGAAUUCCUGGUGUAGCGGUGAAAUGCGCAGAUAUCAGGAGGAACACCUAUUGCGAAGGCAGCUCGCUGGGACGUAACUGACGCUGAGACGCGAAAGCCAGGGGAGCAAACGGG
This 253-nucleotide ribosomal RNA is filed under the name uncultured bacterium. RNAcentral describes it as "partial 16S ribosomal RNA". It matches the Rfam family "Bacterial small subunit ribosomal RNA", at positions 524 to 776 of the family's 1533-position model. The record is from RNAcentral.